AGAUGUAAGGAUGAUCUGGCAGAGACAUCUGUCACUGUAUUUAUCACCAGGGUUGAUUCAGCUGACCUUGCUGGCUAGAUGUAUGUCCCCUCCUCCCUCACUGCCCCACGUGUGUCCCUCCUCAGGCUGCACACGUGGUGGAUAAAAACUACCUUCCCAGAUAGAGGACUGUUCAAGGGCAUAUGAAUAACUAUGCGUCCCUGCUGGAACCCAAACAAGCUUUAGAGCAUUAUUUUCCUCUGAGAAAUUGAGUCUGGAUAUAAUACUGUGAAGGUUACACCUCAGAAAAAUUUAGUUUUACAUACUUUC
This 309-nucleotide small nuclear RNA is filed under the name Castor canadensis (American beaver). RNAcentral describes it as "7SK RNA (ENSCCNG00000027677.1)". It matches the Rfam family "7SK RNA". Rfam says of the family: 7SK was discovered as an abundant small nuclear RNA in the mid-70s but a possible function has only recently been suggested. Two independent studies have found that 7SK RNA binds the CDK9/cyclin T complex (known as elongation factor P-TEFb). Lineage: Eukaryota; Metazoa; Chordata; Mammalia; Rodentia; Castoridae. The record is from RNAcentral.